AUUUUUACAAUGAAGAGUUUGAUCCUGGCUCAGGAUGAACGCUAGCUACAGGCUUAACACAUGCAAGUCGAGGGGCAGCAUGGUCUUAGCUUGCUAAGGCCGA
Molecule: ribosomal RNA, 103 nt
Filed under: Phocaeicola vulgatus
Lineage: Bacteria; Pseudomonadati; Bacteroidota; Bacteroidia; Bacteroidales; Bacteroidaceae
Description: partial 16S ribosomal RNA
Rfam family: Bacterial small subunit ribosomal RNA
Source: RNAcentral